Non-coding RNA from Amborella trichopoda, 934 nucleotides. The record is from RefSeq and is a predicted model, not a curated record. NCBI's taxonomy places the organism in Eukaryota, Viridiplantae, Streptophyta, Magnoliopsida, Amborellales, Amborellaceae.
UCCAUUUGAAAUAGAGACAGCUUAGGCCUGCAAACUCCAGCUUACACUCCCACCUACUGUCCAGAGAUGGCAAGCCUACCUGCCUCAAGCCUUUCUUAUACUUCAUCUUUCUCUCUCUACCGAUGCAUCCACUCCCUUUCUCUCUCUAAACCACACGAAAUAAAAAACCAUUCCUUUUCUCUUUCUAAAACCAGAGGAACCCUAUCUCUCCCUCGCGCCUAGUUUCCUCUCUAUCUUUUACAAACUACAGGGGCCCUAAUACACCCUCGCGAACUCUCUCUCUCUAAACCAGAAAUACAGGGGAAGCACUACCAAACUGACGUCUCCCUCUCUCUGCGCCUCUCAUACGAGAACAGAAGUGAAAGUUCUGUCUUAAUCGCAGUCACAGAGGAUGUUUGUUCAAAUGCUGUAAACCCUCGCGAACUCUCUCUCUCUGAACCAGAAAUACAGGGGAAGCACUACCAAACUGACGUCUCCCUCUCUCUGCGCCUCUCAUACGAGAACAGAAGUGAAAGCUCUGUCUUAAUCGCAGUCACAGAGGUCUACACCUUUGGAUGACUACCGGUGUCCAAAUUGUACCUUUUUUCCAAUUGACAUGAAAAGUUAAAUGACACACUAUGGGCCUAUCGAACAAAUGAGAAGACUCCUAUAAGCAUGACCCCAUACUCAUUAGUGUAUCGUAUGGAGGUUGUGCUAAUUUAUUUUCUAAUUAUAAUAUUAGAAUAUAGAUUAGUUUUAGAAUCUUUUACCUCUUGAGAGCUCGAAAUUAAUGCUUUCAAGUUUUUUUUUCAUAAGUCAUUUUGUUGUGUUUUAAAGACGUUUCAAAAUAGAAAGAUCAGAGUAAAUUUUACUGUGAAAGUCUCGUGCUUUCAAAAUAGUCUAUGAUUAAUUUUUAAAUUUCUUAUAAAUUAGUCAAUUGCUCCUACUGUUUAAC